This is a non-coding RNA of Eubacterium sp. CAG:192, 87 nucleotides long. The record is from Rfam. Lineage: Bacteria; Bacillati; Bacillota; Clostridia; Eubacteriales; Eubacteriaceae.
UUUAGGAGAAAACAAAAUGAACGAAGUUUAUUUUUAGAAUGUUUUCGACGAAAUGCCGAUAAUCAAAGGAAAGGAACAAUACAUAUA